UCCGGUUUGUCACCGGCAGUCUCCCUAGAGUUCCCAUCCGAAAUGCUGGCAACUAGGGAUAGGGGUUGCGCUCGUUGCGCCACUUAAGGCAACACCUCACGGCACGAGCUGACGACAGCCAUGCAGCACCUGUGCGGGCUCCCGUAGGAGGACCGUGUUUCCACGGCUUCACCCCGCAUGUCAAGCCCUGGUAAGGUUCUUCGCGUUGCCUCGAAUUAAGCCGCAUGCUCCGCCGCUUGUGCGGGUCCCCGUCAAUUCCUUUGAGUUUUAGCCUUGCGGCCGUACUCCCCAGGCGGGGUGCUUAAUGCGUUAGCUGCGGCACAGAGGACGUGGAAGUCCCCCACACCUAGCACCCACCGUUUACGGCGUGGACUAC
Molecule: unclassified non-coding RNA, 376 nt
Filed under: uncultured Actinomycetes bacterium
Lineage: Bacteria; Bacillati; Actinomycetota; Actinomycetes
Description: uncultured actinobacterium contains 16S-23S intergenic spacer region
Source: RNAcentral